RNAcentral lists this unclassified non-coding RNA (322 nucleotides) under Serendipita vermifera. RNAcentral's name for it is "sequence contains ITS1, 5.8S rRNA gene, ITS2". The stretch from base 35 to 188 matches the Rfam family "5.8S ribosomal RNA". The record is from RNAcentral. Lineage: Eukaryota; Fungi; Basidiomycota; Agaricomycetes; Sebacinales; Serendipitaceae.
UGGAAUGUCUAUUGUACAAUGUACAACCAAAAACAACUUUCAACAACGGAUCUCUUGGCUCUCGCAUCGAUGAAGAACGCAGCGAAAUGCGAUAAGUAAUGUGAAUUGCAGAAUUCAGUGAAUCAUCGAAUCUUUGAACGCACCUUGCACCCUUUGGUAUUCCGAAGGGUACACCCGUUUGAGUGUCAUUGUAAUCUCACUACAACCGCUUUUUUGUGGUUGUAUGUGGACUUGGAUGUUGCCGUGUAACAAACGGCUCGUCUGAAAUGCCUGAGUGUACCCUGCUUUGCGGCGUAUUUGGUGUGAUAAAUCUUCACCGGAG